UACGGAGAGUGCAAACGUUGUUCGGAUUCACUGGGCGUAAAGGGCACGUAGGCGGCUCGGCAAAUCGGUCGUGGAAUCUCGACGCUUACCGUCGAAACGGCGGCCGAAAAUACCGGGCUCGAGGGCGUGAGGGGUCACUGGAACUCCUGGUGAAGCGGUGAAAUGCGUAGAUAUCAGGAAGAACACCAAUGGCGAAAGCAGCUCUCUGGGACGGUACUGACGCUGAGACGCGAAAGCGUGGGGAGCGAACAGG
RNAcentral lists this ribosomal RNA (253 nucleotides) under uncultured bacterium. Its description in RNAcentral is "partial 16S ribosomal RNA". It matches the Rfam family "Bacterial small subunit ribosomal RNA", at positions 524 to 776 of the family's 1533-position model. The record is from RNAcentral.